RNAcentral lists this transfer RNA (75 nucleotides) under Profundirhabdus halotolerans. Its description in RNAcentral is "tRNA-Gly". It matches the Rfam family "tRNA". Rfam says of the family: Transfer RNA (tRNA) molecules are approximately 80 nucleotides in length. Lineage: Bacteria; Bacillati; Actinomycetota; Nitriliruptoria; Nitriliruptorales; Nitriliruptoraceae. The record is from RNAcentral.
GCGGGUGUAGCUCAAUGGCCAGAGCUCCAGUCUUCCAAACUGGCGAUGGGGGUUCGAUUCCCCUCACCCGCUCCA